GUUAUUGGAGUUCUGGAGAGUGUGCUGGGUUUUGUGCUCAGCUCCGUGUCUUUCAGUUUCUCCUUCCAGCUGCUGCAAUCACAGCAGGUGUGAGUUGGAAGUUAUCUCGGCUGCUUGUGAUUCAGUUAAUUGAUUCCCUCAGCGUUUCUACCAUUUCAGUUAUUUCAUGGCUAGAUCUUCCAGCUUGUCACCCUUUUGUUCCACCUUGGUUCAGGAACGCAAGUGUUGCUACAUCUUGUUUGGAGACAUUACAUCUCCAUAGGGAAGGUCAAGUUGGGAAGAACUUUGAGGAAAAAGUAAAAGAGGACAAGGAUGCUACCAGACACAGAGUUAAGAAAAAGAACCAAAUGGUAAUCAACUCCACCACUCCGCCCCAUGAGGAGAAACAAACUGGUGUUAGCUGAAUGUCGGAGGAUUUGAGAGGCUUCAGCUGAUGAGAUGAUGAGCAGCAGCUGCACGAGUGUCAAGAUGGAGCUCCACGCACAGAUACUGGGACAACUGCCUCACAAUUUACUAAAGAAAUGAUAUUAAGAUCAACCUUAUUAAAGAAAUAAAAAGUAAUAUUUAAGAAAUAAAACCAGGUGUAUAUCAUUUUGACAACAUAAAUAAUCCUGUCACACUUUAAGUCUUUAUUUAGGCUCAUUUUAUUUAAGAAUUUCUGUUUUUUUCACAGUUAAAACAUAAAAAAAAACAAAAAUUGACAUUAAAAUGGACAACCAACAUCUGCUUUGUCUAUUUUUUUUUUUGGUCUUUAACAAAUAUCAUUAAAAUACAAGCGUAGUUACAGGAGGCGAUCGCAAAAAUGUAAAGAUAAUUAUUAGGGAUUGGUCAUAUAUGAUAUACUCCCAUUAAUUGAAUGAAUUUAGUUAAAUAAACCAAAAACUGUUUUAGGAUUAUAUUUCAUUUUAUAGUAUGUCCCAUAAACGUUUCUUGACAUAAACCAUUUUUAUUUAUAUAAUAUGGUCUAAAUGACUACAGUUUUGUCAAAAACACAUCUCAAUCCAUUUCUUCCACUGCAAAAGAAAACUUCUAAGAUUAUAUUUGGUUAUUAUAACACGUUCCUUUGGUGAAUCAGACAUCAGGAUGACUUCCAUUUGUUGCCCUUUAUUCAAAUGCAUUCUCUGUGGAAUCUUGAAUAAUGAAUCUUGUUUCAUUAUCUUUUACCCCCAGCAGUCUUACACUGCUGGCUUUUGUUAUUUUACUUUGGGGUUGGACCUGUCUUUAUUUGCGGGCUUGCUUUGUUUGUUUUGUUAGAUCUCAUUAGGCAGCUUUAGCAGGACUUAUUUUCUGUUUGGGUAGGGAUAUAAUGCCUUUGUCUUGCAUUUCUUUUUUUUUAACCAGCACAGCAAUUUCUUUUUCCUUUACAAGACACGGUUUCUUUUUCUUUUUGUCAAUAAACGGUGUUCCUCAUCUUCCUGGUGUCCAGUUUCAUGUUAUGGUCCACUUUUUGGUCUUUUUCCGAGACUGAGUGAGGCCGGUAUUGGGGCCAUAAUAGGGUCACCCUGUAGUAAUGCAGCAAGAGCAAACACAUGGAAAUUACAUUACAACUAUAAGUGAGGCACUUUACUGGAGUUCAAAAGUUAUGUAGAAA
This 1591-nucleotide long non-coding RNA is filed under the name Oryzias javanicus (javanese ricefish). RNAcentral describes it as "lncRNA (ENSOJAG00000015848.1)". Lineage: Eukaryota; Metazoa; Chordata; Actinopteri; Beloniformes; Adrianichthyidae. The record is from RNAcentral.